RNAcentral lists this ribosomal RNA (424 nucleotides) under uncultured prokaryote. RNAcentral describes it as "bacterial SSU rRNA". It matches the Rfam family "Bacterial small subunit ribosomal RNA", at positions 355 to 796 of the family's 1533-position model. The record is from RNAcentral.
UGGGGAAUAUUGGACAAUGGGCGCAAGCCUGAUCCAGCCAUGCCGCGUGAGUGAAGAAGGCCCUAGGGUUGUAAAGCUCUUUCAGCAGGGAAGAUGAUGACGGUACCUGCAGAAGAAGCCCCGGCUAACUCCGUGCCAGCAGCCGCGGUAAUACGGAGGGGGCUAGCGUUGUUCGGAAUUACUGGGCGUAAAGGGCAUGUAGGCGGAUCGGCCAGUCAGAGGUGAAAGCCCCGGGCUCAACCCGGGAACUGCCUUUGAUACUGCCGAUCUAGAGUCCGGGAGAGGAUAGUGGAAUUCCCAGUGUAGAGGUGAAAUUCGUAGAUAUUGGGAAGAACACCAGUGGCGAAGGCGGCUAUCUGGACCGGUACUGACGCUAAGGUGCGAAAGCGUGGGGAGCAAACAGGAUUAGAUACCCCCGUAGUCC